RNAcentral lists this ribosomal RNA (429 nucleotides) under Gemmatimonadota bacterium. RNAcentral's name for it is "Gemmatimonadetes bacterium partial 16S ribosomal RNA". It matches the Rfam family "Bacterial small subunit ribosomal RNA", at positions 355 to 776 of the family's 1533-position model. The record is from RNAcentral. Lineage: Bacteria; Pseudomonadati; Gemmatimonadota.
UAGGGAAUCUUCGGCAAUGGAUGAAAGUCUGCCCGAGCAACGCCGCGCGAGUGAAGAAGGUUUUCGGUUUGUAAAACUCUGUUGUUAGAGAAGAACAAGGACGUUAGUAACUGAACGUCCCCUGACGGUACCUAACCAGAAAGCCACGGCCAACUACGUUCCAGCAGCCGCGGUAAUACGUAGGUGGCAAGCGUUGUCCGGAUUUAUUGGGCGUAAAGCGAGCGCAGGCGGUUUCUUAAGUCUGAUGUGAAAGCCCCCGGCUCAACCGGGGAGGGUCAUUGGAAACGGGUUGACUUAAGUGUAGAGGAGGCGGGUGAAAUUCCGUUGGUGGCGGUGAAAUACGUAGCUAUAUGGAGAACCACCAGUGUCGAAGGCGGCUCUCUGGUCUGUAACGGACGCUGAGGCUCGAAAGCGUGGGGAGCAAAAAGG